RNAcentral lists this ribosomal RNA (274 nucleotides) under uncultured bacterium. RNAcentral's name for it is "partial 16S ribosomal RNA". It matches the Rfam family "Bacterial small subunit ribosomal RNA", at positions 523 to 796 of the family's 1533-position model. The record is from RNAcentral.
AUACGAAGGGGACUAGCGUUGUUCGGAAUCACUGGGCGUAAAGCGCGCGUAGGCGGACCAGUCAGUCAGGGGUGAAAUCCCGGGGCUCAACCCCGGAACUGCCUUUGAUACUGCUGGUCUUGAGUUCGAGAGAGGUGAGUGGAAUUCCGAGUGUAGAGGUGAAAUUCGUAGAUAUUCGGAGGAACACCAGUGGCGAAGGCGGCUCACUGGCUCGAUACUGACGCUGAGGUGCGAAAGCGUGGGGAGCAAACAGGAUUAGAAACCCUUGUAGUCC